AAGUCGAGCGAACAGACGAGGAGCUUGCUCCUCCGACGUUAGCGGCGGACGGGUGAGUAACACGUGGAUAACCUACCUAUAAGACUGGGAUAACUUCGGGAAACCGGAGCUAAUACCGGAUAAUAUAUUGAACCGCAUGGUUCAAUAGUGAAAGACGGUUUUGCUGUCACUUAUAGAUGGAUCCGCGCCGCAUUAGCUAGUUGGUAAGGUAACGGCUUACCAAGGCAACGAUGCGUAGCCGACCUGAGAGGGUGAUCGGCCACACUGGAACUGAGACACGGUCCAGACUCCUACGGGAGGCAGCAGUAGGGAAUCUUCCGCAAUGGGCGAAAGCCUGACGGAGCAACGCCGCGUGAGUGAUGAAGGUCUUCGGAUCGUAAAACUCUGUUAUUAGGGAAGAACAAAUGUGUAAGUAACUAUGCACGUCUUGACGGUACCUAAUCAGAAAGCCACGGCUAACUACGUGCCAGCAGCCGCGGUAAUACGUAGGUGGCAAGCGUUAUCCGGAAUUAUUGGGCGUAAAGCGCGCGUAGGCGGUUUUUUAAGUCUGAUGUGAAAGCCCACGGCUCAACCGUGGAGGGUCAUUGGAAACUGGAAAACUUGAGUGCAGAAGAGGAAAGUGGAAUUCCAUGUGUAGCGGUGAAAUGCGCAGAGAUAUGGAG
RNAcentral lists this ribosomal RNA (662 nucleotides) under uncultured Staphylococcus sp. RNAcentral's name for it is "bacterial SSU rRNA". It matches the Rfam family "Bacterial small subunit ribosomal RNA", at positions 59 to 703 of the family's 1533-position model. The record is from RNAcentral. Lineage: Bacteria; Bacillati; Bacillota; Bacilli; Caryophanales; Staphylococcaceae.